CGGGAGAAUAGAGAUUAUUUUAAUAGCACGUACAUUAAAAUUAUACUAAUACUAGUAAAAUCGAAGAAGGAAAAUCCCCCCAAAAUCAAGGAAAAUCAGAGAAAUCAUCCACAAUUCCACCUCAAUGCCGAUCGGGAGGUAAUCUGCGACGAGCACGGCAUCAACUGCGGCGACUCAAGGAGGCGGGGAAUUGUGACUGAUUGCAAGUUUCAGGAAGAGUCCGAGUUGCUGUAAGAUUGCGACCUCAGAAUACCAAAGAGUUGCUGCCAAACCUGUUGUUGAGGUGAGCUUGGCAGAGCUUUAUUACUAUUUAACAUAUCGAGCAUUUCAUACUGAAGCAAGUUUGUUGUGCUAAUACGGCUCAGUGUGUUAGGUGUUCCUGGAUAUUAACAGAUUACAGAAAAGCGCAAAUGUAUAGGCUUAUUUUUAUGUCCGCAUUUGGCUCAUGUUUAAAAUUUCCAUCAUCAGACUGAAAGAGUAUGCUAAGUAAUGGAAUACUUUUCUUGUACACAGAAGCUGUUUUGAACUCUCUCUUGAUUAUAGAUUCUAUGCUGUUUCUUUUCUUUCCCAGAGUGUUGUACAGGGUUAUAAUGGGACAGUGAUGACUUAUGGUUAAACCGGAACCGUGAAGACUUAUACUAUAGGACGAUGAGACGAUGAAGGUACCUCUGCUCGGGGUAUAAUGGUUCGUGCGAUGGAGGAUAUUCUUGCAAAUAUCUCACCUGAGACUGAUUCUGUCUCAGUUUCAUUCUUGCAGGUUGAACAGGCUACUUGCAUGCUUGUAUAUUGGUUCCAUCAUUAUGGAUAUCUUUCUUUGUCCGAUUGAGUUAUUCCUCGAAGAUCUUUAUAUUCUGAAGUGCUAUUCUUAUAUAGAAUUAGUUUUUUCUGUAACUUUAUAUAGAAUACAUCCAGGAUCUGUUGAACCCAACAAAUGAUGAUAUAUCAAUUGUUGAGGACCAGAAAACUGGUGAUGUUUCUUUGCCAGGGGCGACAGUCUGGGAGAUCAGAGACCAGCAAAGUUCAUGCAACUCUUACUCUUUGGUGAAGCACAUAGGUUUGUUGCCAACACUAAACUUAACACUGAAUCUUCUCGGAGUCCUGCCCUUCUGAUGGUACUUGUGAACAGGUCUGUAGUGGAAAGGGCUGAAUUUUCUCUUGAUGCUCAAAAUCGCUCCAAUUGAUAAUUUGAGGCCUGCUAUGCUACGUAAAGGCAGACUGAUCGUGGAAGCAAGGGACAUAUGCUAGAAGAAGCCAAGUCUAUAUAUCUUUCACUUGGUGCUUUAGGGAAAUGUAUAAAUCCCUUGGCAGAAAACAGUCCCCACGUCCCAGUUUGAGAUUCAAAGCUUACAAGGCUAGUUAAAGAUUCAUCUGGAGGGACAUCCAGAACAUCAUUAGUAAUCACAAUCGGUCCUUCUCUACAUCUCGAACAGAGACUUCAAGUACCAUAAUGUUUGGCAAGGGAGGAGAAAACCAAAUGUCAGAUGGAUUAUAUGGACUCAACUAAGAAGCUUGAGAAGUGGACUAUCGACCAACAAAAGCAUGCUAUUAAUGCAGAGUUCGAUUGCAAAAGAUAUUAUCAUUACUUGAGUCAGAGGAUGCUACUGCACGGAUAUAUGUGGUAAAAGUGGAAGGCAACUUAGCUGCAGAAGGAUUUCAACCUUCUUCACAGAGGUCAAUGCAAAAGACAUGAUCAGCGGAGGAGCCCUCUGGGAGCUAGUUCGUAUUUCGCAGGACUGUUCUAGGAAGGAUAUAAGGGCCCUUGCAUGCCAAACUCUGACCUCAAGUUCCACAUUUGAAUUCGUACUGCGACGCCUAAGGAUCGAGGCAGUAUCUCUGAUGCAAGUCAUUAUGGCCGUUGUAUUGCAUUUGGCGAUCUCAACAACCUUUUCUCCGGCACCAUGAGUGGCAUCACAUGCUGUCUCCGUUUCUCAUGCCAACUCAAUUCUGACCUCAGGAAACUGUCUGUCAACCUUAUCCCCUUUCGACUGCUUCAUUUCUUCAUGGUUGGAUUUGCACCUACCCUUAACCUCCAGAGGCUCCCAGCAGUACAUAGAUCUUUCUCACAGUACCCGAACUCACUCAGCAGAUGUUGGACACAAAGAACGUGAUGUGCGCUGCAGACCCAUGCCACGGGAGGUACUUGACUGCCUCAGCCAUGUUCCGUGGCAAGAUGAGCCCAAAGAAGUUGACGAGCAGAUGAUCAACAUGCAGAACAAGAACUUGUCCUAUUUUGUCGAGUGGAUCCCCCAACAACGUAAAGUCCAGUGUCUGUGACAUCCCUCCCACGGGUCUGAUAAUGCAAACUGAGGGUGAUUAUUCUAUUGGAUUGUGACAUUGUUCUGAUAUUUCUUCAACCGGAUUUCAACUAUGUCAUUCCAGACAGGAUGAAGUUGACAUUCUCUGUCUUUCCAUCGCCAAAGGCAGUAUCUCUGUUGCAAGUCAUUAAGGCCGUUGUAUUGAAGUUGGCGAUCUCAACGACCUUUUCUCCGCCACCAUGAGUGGCAUCACAUGCUGCAGAAAUCUCUUCGGCACGUCCAUAAGCAGAUCUGGUUUGAGUAAUCGAUGAUGGGAGGAAAUUGUGUCAAAGUAAGAUUGUAGUGUUGAUGAGGACAAGAAUGAUAGCUGUUCGAGAUGUGCUAUCUAGUGACCCAUACGUCGUUUUGAAACUUGGAAAGCAGAGAGUCCAAAGAGCUGAGGCGGACAGCAACUUGAAUCCCGUGUGGAACGAGGAACUGAUGCUCUCCGUUCCACAGAACUACGGUCCUAUCAAGCUGGAAGUUUAUGACUACGACACGUUCUCUGCGGGUGAUGUGAUGGGGGAGGUCGAGAUAGACAUUCAGUCGAUGAUAACUUUGCCACUGUGUUCGUGGAUGUUGAGAAGUUUGAGAACAUGCAGAUCGGGAGAUGGCUGAAGUCGCACGACAACGGGAUGUUGGAAGACAGCACGGUAAGGCCAUCCACAACGCUGUGCCUAUACCGUUCCUAAACCGUGCCUUAAACUACUAUUUGCAGGCCCCACUGUACUUUUUUACUCCAUUCCUUAACUAAGGCACGGAACCUGCAACCCUCCG
Salvia splendens (bonfire salvia) is the source of this 3071-nucleotide RNA transcript. It is a transcript of the gene named probable ADP-ribosylation factor GTPase-activating protein AGD13, with no coding region annotated. The transcript is spliced from 13 exons. NCBI's taxonomy places the organism in Eukaryota, Viridiplantae, Streptophyta, Magnoliopsida, Lamiales, Lamiaceae. The record is from RefSeq and is a predicted model, not a curated record.